RNAcentral lists this ribosomal RNA (253 nucleotides) under uncultured bacterium. Its description in RNAcentral is "partial 16S ribosomal RNA". It matches the Rfam family "Bacterial small subunit ribosomal RNA", at positions 524 to 776 of the family's 1533-position model. The record is from RNAcentral.
GACGGAGGGCGCAAGCGUUGUUCGGAAUUACUGGGCGUAAAGAGCGCGCAGGCGGGAAGGUAAGUCUGGCGUGAAAUUCCGGGGCUCAACUCCGGAGCUGCUUUGGAUACUGUCUUUCUAGGGUCCGGUAGAGGCCGGUGGAAUUCCCGGUGUAGCGGUGGAAUGCGUAGAGAUCGGGAAGAACACCCGUGGCGAAGGCGGCCGGCUGGGCAGUAGCUGACGCUGAGGCGCGACAGCGUGGGGAGCAAACAGG